This 46-nucleotide ribosomal RNA is filed under the name Tuber mesentericum. Its description in RNAcentral is "partial 18S ribosomal RNA". Lineage: Eukaryota; Fungi; Ascomycota; Pezizomycetes; Pezizales; Tuberaceae. The record is from RNAcentral.
GCGGAAGGAUCAUUACAACAGCCGGGGACGCCCCAUGGGCGGCACC